AUACGUAGGCCCUAAGCGUUAUCCGGAAUUACUGGGCGUAAAGCGCGCGUAGGUGGCUAUGUAAGUCGGAUGUGAAAGCCCUGGGCUCAACCUGGGAAUUGCAUUCGAAACUGCAUGGCUAGAGUAUGGUAGAGGGAAGUGGAAUUUCCGGUGUAGCGGUGAAAUGCGUAGAUAUCGGAAGGAACACCAGUGGCGAAGGCGACUUCCUGGGCCAAUACUGACGCUGAGGUGCGAAAGCGUGGGGAGCAAACAGGAUUAGAAACCCCGGUAGUCC
RNAcentral lists this ribosomal RNA (274 nucleotides) under uncultured bacterium. Its description in RNAcentral is "partial 16S ribosomal RNA". It matches the Rfam family "Bacterial small subunit ribosomal RNA", at positions 523 to 796 of the family's 1533-position model. The record is from RNAcentral.